Molecule: ribosomal RNA, 253 nt
Filed under: uncultured bacterium
Lineage: Bacteria
Description: partial 16S ribosomal RNA
Rfam family: Bacterial small subunit ribosomal RNA
Source: RNAcentral
UACAGAGGGGGCAAGCGUUAUUCGGAAUUAUUGGGCGUAAAGGGCGCGUAGGCGGCCUUUCAAGUGACGGGUGAAAUCCCUCGGCUUAACCGAGGAACUGCCUGUCAGACUGGAAGGCUUGGGACCGGGAGAGGUGAGUGGAAUUCCCAGUGUAGCGGUGAAAUGCGUAGAUAUUGGGAGGAACACCAGUGGCGAAGGCGGCUCACUGGACCGGAACUGACGCUGAGGCGCGAAAGCGUGGGGAGCAAACAGG